Molecule: long non-coding RNA, 757 nt
Filed under: Homo sapiens (human)
Lineage: Eukaryota; Metazoa; Chordata; Mammalia; Primates; Hominidae
Description: HSALNT0259513
Source: RNAcentral
GCCAGCGUCAGAGUCAGGCACCACCGCGCAGCCUUCUCUGCGGCACCAUCCUAAUCCCCCGCUAGAGAACGGCACACGCGCACGCAGCAGCCCCGUGCACGGAAACACUACUCCGCCAGCGGCCAGGCACUCGGUCCAGGUGGCGGUUAGUUGGGGCCAGGGAAGCGUGGAGGGUGGGUUCCAAUCGAGUCAAGAAAAGCCUGGGGUGUCCUGAACUCUGCCUGCUUCCCCAGCCCUGCCAGUUUCCAGAGAAGGCGCUUGAGAAGGAGAAACGAAUCGCUGCUGCUCUUCUAAAAGCCGGUUCCCUCUCUGGUGUCUGUGGACCCUGCUUCUGAAGUACAUGAACCUUGAGGAAAAUUGACCAGUUCUAGCAGUUCUAAAAUCAUGGCUCGUGAUUUGGUGAUGUUCAGAGAUGUGGCUGUAGACUUUUCUCAGGAAGAAUGGGAAUGCCUGAACUCAUAUCAGAGGAAUUUGUACAGAGAUGUGAUAUUAGAGAACUAUAGCAACUUGGUGUCACUGGGAUGUUCUAUUUCUAAGCCAGAUGUGAUCACCCUAUUGGAACAAGGGAAAGAGCCCUGGAUGGUUGUGAGGGAUGAGAAAAGAAGAUGGACUCUAGAUUUGGAAUCCAGAUAUGACACUAAAAAGUUAUUUCAAGGAAAGGAUAUUUAUGAAAUGAACUUAUCUCAGUGGAAGGUAAUGGAAAGAAUUAAAAGCUGUGGACUUGAAGAACAAGAAAGUCCUCAUGAGGUGUGUUUCA